Molecule: microRNA precursor, 78 nt
Filed under: Schistosoma mansoni
Lineage: Eukaryota; Metazoa; Platyhelminthes; Trematoda; Strigeidida; Schistosomatidae
Description: mir-3492 microRNA precursor family
Rfam family: mir-3492 microRNA precursor family
Source: Rfam by way of RNAcentral
AGCCUUCUGAAUCCGUACCGAGAUUUCGUCAGAAAUCGAAGCAUCAGCACUGAUGAGACUCCUAAGAUAAGUAAAGUG